RNAcentral lists this ribosomal RNA (506 nucleotides) under Copidosoma exiguum. RNAcentral describes it as "eukaryotic LSU rRNA". The record is from RNAcentral. Lineage: Eukaryota; Metazoa; Arthropoda; Insecta; Hymenoptera; Encyrtidae.
CCUGAGAAAUCCAAAAGUUCGAAUGGAGAGAUUCAGCGUCAGUGAUCGUUGGCUUGCGUGUUGUCGCGAUGCUCGGGCUUGCCAGCUAGCCUUUGGUUAUUUGGCGGGCCCGUGGCACGCGCCUGCUGCGUCAUGUCCGGCGUCAUCGGCGUGCACUUCUCUCCUAGUAGGACGUCGCGACCCGUUGGGUGUCGAUCAACGGCCCGUCUGACAGACUGUCGCGCUAGAGCGCGUCAGGUCACAUCGGUGCUUGUUGUUACCCGAUCGACUGCUCGACGGUAUUGAAUGCUUUUUUAUAUCAAGAUUGGUAUCGAGCCGCAAUCUCGAAUGCGUUCGGUUUGUCGAUCGUCGGGGUCUCGCGCGGAUUUCACGGACCUAGAGCCGUCGCCGUGCGCCUGGCUCAUUCGAUCGUCAAUGUCCUCGAACUGGCUCCGGGCAAGGGGACCUCGCGUCCUCCUUCUCGCAACUUACCGGCCAGCGACGCUUUUGCUUUGGAUACUUUCAGG